This 468-nucleotide ribosomal RNA is filed under the name uncultured bacterium. RNAcentral describes it as "partial 16S ribosomal RNA". It matches the Rfam family "Bacterial small subunit ribosomal RNA", at positions 28 to 507 of the family's 1533-position model. The record is from RNAcentral.
GACGAACGCUGGCGGCGUGCUUAACACAUGCAAGUCGAACGGAAAGGCCCUGCUUUUGUGGGGUGCUCGAGUGGCGAACGGGUGAGUAACACGUGAGUAACCUGCCCUUGACUUUGGGAUAACUUUAGGAAACUGGGGCUAAUACCGGAUAGGAGCUCCUGCUGCAUGGUGUGGGUUGGAGAGUUUCGGCGGUGGGGGAUGGUCUCGCGGCUUAUCAGCUUGUUGGUGGAGUAGUGGCUUACCAAGGCUUCGACGGGUAGCCGCCCUGAGAGGGUGACCGGCGACAUUGGGACUACGAUACGGCCCAGACUCCUACGGGAGGCAACAGUGGGGAAUAUGGCACAAUAGCCCGAAGCGUGAAGCAGCAACCCUGCGUGCGGGAUGACGGGCUUCGGGUUGAAAACCGCUGUCGCCUGUAACGAGGAGUGAGUGACGGUAACUGGUAAAGAAGCACCGGCUAACUACGUG